Molecule: ribosomal RNA, 506 nt
Filed under: uncultured bacterium
Lineage: Bacteria
Description: partial 16S ribosomal RNA
Rfam family: Bacterial small subunit ribosomal RNA
Source: RNAcentral
AGUGAACGCUGGCGGUAGGCCUAACACAUGCAAGUCGAACGGCAGCACAGGAGAGCUUGCUCUCUGGGUGGCGAGUAGCGGACGGGUGAGGAAUACAUCGGAAUCUACUCUGUCGUGGGGGAUAACGUAGGGAAACUUAGGCUAAUACCGCAUACGACCUACGGGUGAAAGCAGGGGACCUUCGGGCCUUGCGCGAUUGAAUGAGCCGAUGUCGGAUUAGCUAGUUGGCGGGGUAAAGGCCCACCAAGGCGACGAUCCGUAGCUGGUCUGAGAGGAUGAUCAGCCACACUGGAACUGAGACACGGUCCAGACUCCUACGGGAGGCAGCAGUGGGGAAUAUUGGACAAUGGGCGCAAGCCUGAUCCAGCCAUACCGCGUGGGUGAAGAAGGCCUUCGGGUUGUAAAGCCCUUUUGUUGGGAAAGAAAUCCAGCUGGCUAAUACCCGGUUGGGAUGACGGUACCCAAAGAAUAAGCACCGGCUAACUUCGUGCCAGCCGCCGCAGUAA